This 494-nucleotide ribosomal RNA is filed under the name uncultured bacterium. Its description in RNAcentral is "partial 16S ribosomal RNA". It matches the Rfam family "Bacterial small subunit ribosomal RNA", at positions 30 to 506 of the family's 1533-position model. The record is from RNAcentral.
UGAACGCUGGCGGCGUGCCUAAUACAUGCACGUCGAGCGAACAGACGAGGAGCUUGCUCCUCUGACGUUAGCGGCGGACGGGUGAGUAACACGUGGAUAACCUACCUAUAAGACUGGGAUAACUUCGGGAAACCGGAGCUAAUACCGGAUAAUAUAUUGAACCGCAUGGUUCAAUAGUGAAAGACGGUUUUGCUGUCACUUAUAGAUGGAUCCGCGCCGCAUUAGCUAGUUGGUAAGGUAACGGCUUACCAAGGCAACGAUGCGUAGCCGACCUGAGAGGGUGAUCGGCCACACUGGAACUGAGACACGGUCCAGACUCCUACGGGAGGCAGCAGUAGGGAAUCUUCCGCAAUGGGCGAAAGCCUGACGGAGCAACGCCGCGUGAGUGAUGAAGGUCUUCGGAUCGUAAAACUCUGUUAUUAGGGAAGAACAAAUGUGUAAGUAACUAUGCACGUCUUGACGGUACCUAAUCAGAAAGCCACGGCUAACUACGU